Molecule: long non-coding RNA, 1177 nt
Filed under: Anas platyrhynchos platyrhynchos (common mallard)
Lineage: Eukaryota; Metazoa; Chordata; Aves; Anseriformes; Anatidae
Description: lncRNA (ENSAPLG00000017291.1)
Source: RNAcentral
AUGGACCCGAAGUUGAGGAUUGAUAUGAUUUGGAGCUGUCGGUAUUAUAUUAAAUCGCUUAUACUGCUGAUGAAUUUACAUCGGAAACGAAAUGUGGUGUUUUCCUCUGAAGUAGCUAAUAGUCGGCACCAGUCUGGACAUCAUUGCAGGAGAAAGAUUCACUUCUCACGGAGAUGACUACUGCAGUUGCCCCAGCCUGUGUGAGGUCCCUGCGAGGGUCACUCUCCUGACAUCUUGCAGUAGGUGAGGACAAGGACAUAGCAUAUACCAUUUAAAUACGGAUAGUUUAACCUUGCCUAACAUUUCACCUUGGAUACUGUUGUUUUUUCAUAGCUCCCUUUUCAGAGCUAAUAUAGUAGCUUUAUGGGUGUGGAAGCAUGAUUUUUAUCUUGGCAUUGGUUUGAGGAUAAUCAGGUCAUCUGUAGAAAGCAGCCUGAACUCUGACUCCACUCAUUUAAAACCAAUGAUCUCCCCAGACUAUCUGCUUUGACUGUGUACUCCAGCAACUGAUGUUGAUUUAUAUGAAAAUCAUUUAUACUUUUUUUUUUUUUUUGUAAUUUUUGCCCAUUGUUUGCUGCAUUAAACAAGUUACUCUGCUGUAGUCAUGGUAAUUGUACAUUCUGGACUUGCUUCAGAUGCAUCUGUGCCUCAUGGGAGUCAGUCACAUGACAGCUAUACAGAGAUUUUUUUUUAUGUCAUCAAAUUGUGUCCUCUGUGCCUAUAUCUGAUGCAGGGGUCAUGAACUUUAGGUUCAGUAAUAGCAGAAAAUAGGUCUAGAUGAAGAGAGAGCCUUCUGGAGGAUUGCAUGGAUAGUACAAGCACAAAGAGAAACUGCUGACAACUAAGCUUUCCUAACUGUCAGGUACUUAUUCUCAGCUGAUGCAAUAAUAAUUUGCACAGAACAAUAAGCUGUAUUGCUGUAUAUAAUAUUCUUUUUUUCUAAUGACUCAUUAUCCUAGGAUGAUGAGGAGAUGAGUAGAAUAUAAGUGUAUUAAAAACAUAAUUGCUUUUCUAUUCAAACAAAAGCAUGCAGUGUAUACGUUGUGACAAAUGCCUAAUGAAUAGGAGUGGAGCUUUUUUGUUCUGUUUCAGUUUAUGGCAAUGCCUGCCAUAAAUGCCUAUUUAAAAUCUUAAUUGCUUUUAAUUUUAACAGUUACCUGAUAGUCGCUUCUGGUUG